This 468-nucleotide ribosomal RNA is filed under the name uncultured bacterium. RNAcentral describes it as "partial 16S ribosomal RNA". It matches the Rfam family "Bacterial small subunit ribosomal RNA", at positions 28 to 507 of the family's 1533-position model. The record is from RNAcentral.
GACGAACGCUGGCGGCGUGCUUAACACAUGCAAGUCGAACGGAAAGGCCCUGCUUUUGUGGGGUGCUCGAGUGGCGAACGGGUGAGUAACAAGUGAGUAACCUGCCCUUGACUUUGGGAUAACUUCAGGAAACUGGGGCUAAUACCGGAUAGGAGCUCCUGCUGCAUGGUGGGGGUUGGAAAGUUUCGGCGGUUGGGGAUGGACUCGCGGCUUAUCAGCUUGUUGGUGGGGUAGUGGCUUACCAAGGCUUUGACGGGUAGCCGGCCUGAGAGGGUGACCGGCCACAUUGGGACUGAGAUACGGCCCAGACUCAUACGGGAGGCAGCAGUGGGGAAUAUUGCACGAUGGGCGGAAGCCUGAUGCAGCAACGCCGCGUGCGGGAUGACGGCCUUCGGGUUGUAAACCGCUUUCGCCCGUGACGAAGCGUGAGUGACGGUAAUGGGUAAAGAAGCACCGGCUAACUACGUG